UGUUGCAGUUAAAAAGCUCGUAGUCGAACCUUGGGUCUGGCUGGCCGGUCCGCCUCACCGCGAGUACUGGUCCGGCUGGACCUUUCCUUCUGGGGAACCUCAUGGCCUUCACUGGCUGUGGGGGGAACCAGGACUUUUACUGUGAAAAAAUUAGAGUGUUCAAAGCAGGCCUUUGCUCGAAUACAUUAGCAUGGAAUAAUAGAAUAGGACGUGCGGUUCUAUUUUGUUGGUUUCUAGGACCGCCGUAAUGAUUAAUAGGGAUAGUCGGGGGCGUCAGUAUUCAGCUGUCAGAGGUGAAAUUCUUGGAUUUGCUGAAGACUAACUACUGCGAAAGCAUUCGCCAAGGAUGUUUUCAUUAAUCAGGGAACGAAAGUUAGGGGAUCGAAGACGAUCAGAUACCGUCGUAGUCUUAACCAUAAACUAUGCCGACUAGGGAUCGGACGGGAUUCUAUGAUGACCCGUUCGGCACCUUACGAGAAAUCAAAGUUUUUGGGUUCUGGGGGGAG
This 506-nucleotide ribosomal RNA is filed under the name Trichocomaceae sp. RNAcentral describes it as "SSU rRNA". It matches the Rfam family "Eukaryotic small subunit ribosomal RNA", at positions 611 to 1123 of the family's 1831-position model. The record is from RNAcentral. Lineage: Eukaryota; Fungi; Ascomycota; Eurotiomycetes; Eurotiales; Trichocomaceae.